CGCAACAAUCUUAUUAAUGAACCGAAAUUACCGAAUCGAAAACCGUUAAUUUGGUUUAGUGAUCAACCCGAAUCCAAACGGGUACAACGGGUCGUAAUGCGGGUCACCAACGUUCAUCGGCAACUGAUCCACUGUCUUAAACCACGUCCGAGCCAAUUUCCCGGUGAAUCCAUAAUCUCCGAACAAAACAUCAGCCACUCCUUGACCUUCCGUUCCCGGAAGCCACGCCGCCACUAGAGCAUCGAUGUUCGAAAUCUGCAUCACCACCGGACGUCCCGAUACAACCACCACCACACAUUUCACCGAUGCGCACACGUUCCCGAUCGUGCUCGGACCUGGUUCCGAUAUGGUUAAGUUCGUACUGUCUCCGAAUCCCUCCGCGUACGGUUUCUCUCCGACGGCCACGAUUGCGUAAUCGAAGUCACCGGCCUUGACGAAAUUGGUGUCGGGGUUUUGAUUGUAGAUAACUUGCGUCUUCGGAUCCACCGUCUUCUUCACUGCGGCGAGGAUCGUUGUUCCUGCAACAUUCAAUUUCAGACUGAGUGAGGAAAGGUGUGUGUACCAAUGGUGAGAUUGUUGCCAUUAAGGCCUUGCCAUGUGAUUGUCCAGCCACCACAUUGGUAUCCCAAGUUAUCAGCAUGUGUUCCUGCGACAAGGAUCUUAUUGGCUUUCUUUGGCAGAGGAAGCAACGGCUUAUCUGCGUUUUCACCAUUCUUCAACAACACGAGAGAUUUCCUCACUGCUUCCCUUGCCAGUUCCCUGUGUUCCUGUUGAGUUUGUUCAAUGUUAAGUUGGGAUCUAUCUUAAAACUGUUUUUUUAUCUUACAGACCUUACUACCGAGCUUCUUGGCCAAGCUAUGAUCAGCAAUGGGAUUCUCAAAGAGCCCCAUUGUGAAUUUGACUCUUAAGAUUCUCUUUACAGCAUCGUCGAUUCUGCUCAUCGGGAUGAAUUUUCGCUUCACCUGACUGGUUAGCUCGUCGAUUAAUUUGGUCAAGUUUGAUGAGCCCAUGAACUGCAUUGGAAAAUUUGAAUCACUUUCUAUAUCUUUGAAAUUAAGAACCAUUUUUGAGACUGACCAUAUCGAGUCCCGCAGUGGUAGCAGCAUACACAGAGUGUGAAUAAUUAGCACCAAGAGGUGUGUUGAUCUGAUCAACACCUAAAUAGUCGGAGAUGACAAUGCCCUGCAGAGAGAUUUAAAAUCUUUCUCAUGUCAAUACUGAAAUGGCUGCUUCUAGAUGCUUUGCUUAAGCUGGAAUUUUCUAUGAUUAUAGUUACCCUGAACUUGAGUUUGUUCUUGAGGAAACCCGUGAUAAGUUUCUUAUUAGCAUGCAUUUUCAACCCGUUUAUGGACGAGUAGGAUACCAUAACUGUUGCAACGCCCUUGUUUACCGCAUCGUGAUAAGCUGGCAUGUGAAUCCCCAGCAAUCCAUUUGAAUUAAUAACCGUGUUGUUCGCGUUCAUCCCUCUCAAUGUACCUCCAUCUCCAACGAAGUGUUUAGCACAGGCUGCGACUUUGGUCCUGUAAGUUUACCCAGUCAUCUGUCUAACUCCAUGAAUCUUUGCUUCUCUAGAGAUUCAGUAAAGUGUACUUACUUCCCAGCGACGAAAGGAACACCCUUUUGACCGGUGGGAAGGUCACCUUGCAAACCAGAUUAGAUUUUACUUACUGCAAUGCAUGGAGCAAAGACAUAUUGGAUUCCUGUUGCUCUAACUUCAAGCGCAGUUGCUUCACCAAUUCUCUUCACAAGACCAGGAUCCCUAACAGAUGAAUACAACAGUAAAGAAACAAUGUUUUGGGUCUAUCCAUUCAUUUGAAAUGGGAUAUUUUGUAAGAACUUGCCUGGUGACUCCGAGGCCUACGUUAUGCGGGAAAAUGGUGGCGUUGUACACGGUGUUGUGACCAUGAACAGCAUCGAUCCCGUAAAUUAUGGGAAUACCUAAGCGGGUUGAAAGAGCUUUCUUUUGGACCUCAUUCACCAUGUUCACCCAAGCUUCAGGACCGAUAUAUGGCUUCGGCACACUCCCUCCUCCGCUAAACACACUCCCUACAAACAGACUUCUGAAACUGUUGAGUGUUCAUAUAGAUUUUAACAACGUUGUGAAGGUCCAGUAUCAUACCGACGAAGUACUUUUGCAUGACUUCGGUUGUGGCAUUGACACGUUCCACCUGAACCAUCUGUCCGAUUUUCUCUUCAAGGGUCAUAUGGCUCAUCAGGUUCUUGAUCCUGACUCCCAGUGGCUCUUUUGGGUCCUUAUACUUGGCGUUUGCGAGUGGUACUUUAUUAGCUGCCACGGUACAGCAGAGCAGCAGAAGGCCUAACGUUUGUAGCAAGUAACUUGAACUCCCCAUCUUUGUCUUCUCUUUCACUCUCAAUAAAAUAGUCGAGAGCUGAUUAUUGAUUAACCAGUUGAGAAGGGGAAGACGAUCAAGCUAUAUGUUGACGACAACAACGAUGAGUAUUACAAUAUUUCGAACGAGAUAAGGAACAUCAUGAGGUUGAGAUUUUGUCUAUAUGCCUUGUACUUGGGUUGUUUUGCUUGUGAGAUGAUGUACAGAGACGUGUGAAACCAUUUCCGUGACUAGAGAACAUCAACAAAAUGGAUUCUUUCCCUUUUGUCAAAUAAAAUAAAAUCUUUGUAAAAGUAAACCAAUUUUAACUUUG
This is a long non-coding RNA of Arabidopsis thaliana (thale cress), 2664 nucleotides long. RefSeq annotates it as other RNA. Lineage: Eukaryota; Viridiplantae; Streptophyta; Magnoliopsida; Brassicales; Brassicaceae. The transcript is spliced from 3 exons. The record is from RefSeq.